RNAcentral lists this ribosomal RNA (499 nucleotides) under uncultured bacterium. Its description in RNAcentral is "partial 16S ribosomal RNA". It matches the Rfam family "Bacterial small subunit ribosomal RNA", at positions 28 to 507 of the family's 1533-position model. The record is from RNAcentral.
GAUGAACGCUGGCGGCGUGCCUAAUACAUGCAAGUCGAGCGAACAGACGAGAGUGCUUGCACUCUCUGACGUUAGCGGCGGACGGGUGAGUAACACGUGGGUAACCUACCUAUAAGACUGGGAUAACUUCGGGAAACCGGAGCUAAUACCGGAUAAUAUUUAGCUUCGCAUGAAGCAAUAGUGAAAGACGGUUCUGCUGUCACUUAUAGAUGGACCCGCGGUGUAUUAGCUAGUUGGUGAGGUAACGGCUCACCAAGGCAACGAUACAUAGCCGACCUGAGAGCGUGAUCGGCCACACUGGCACUUAGACACGGCCCAGACUCCUACGGGAGGCAGCAGUAGGGAAUCUUCCGCAAUGGACGAAAGUCUGACGGAGCAAUGCCGCGUGAGUGAAGAAGGUUUUCGGAUCGUAAAACUCUGUUGUAAGGGAAGAACAAGUACGUUAGUAACUGAACGUACCUUGACGGUACCUUACCAGAAAGCCACGGCUAACUACGUG